CCAAUACCCGUCACUAACUUAGAACCACUAAGAGGCUUACAUUGCAACAUAGAAUUAGAGGCAUGAAACUGAAGGCCACACAGACCCAAGAAACCAUAAACAUAACGAACCAAGGGAUGAGAUUUAUACUGAUAGAACCUUCGACUAACCGAACAGGAAGGGUAAGAGGUUGAUUGAUGAAAUCGCUGAUCCACAGAGACAUACCUGUGAAACGCUUCAACAAAUCCGACAGAAGAAUUAACAUACCACAUCAGAGCCAGCUUAGUACUAUACUGCACACCAGAAAAAGAUCCGGAUCUGUUCAGACAACAAGCACACCACCAGGACUACAACGGAACUAAACUACCUCUCGAUACCAUCCAAAAAACAACAAAAGCUUCAUAUCGACCAAAUGAACCUACUACAAGACCUAUAA
RNAcentral lists this long non-coding RNA (415 nucleotides) under Brassica napus (rape). Its description in RNAcentral is "long non-coding RNA (BNAP_LNC001342)". The record is from RNAcentral. Lineage: Eukaryota; Viridiplantae; Streptophyta; Magnoliopsida; Brassicales; Brassicaceae.